This 540-nucleotide ribosomal RNA is filed under the name Triticum aestivum (bread wheat). RNAcentral's name for it is "partial small subunit ribosomal RNA". The record is from RNAcentral. Lineage: Eukaryota; Viridiplantae; Streptophyta; Magnoliopsida; Poales; Poaceae.
AUGGAGGAGGUGAGCGCCGAGGCCGCGGCCAUGGCGAGCGGCGUCGGGCCGGAGGGCGCGACGAUGAAGGUGGUGGCCGCGGUGGACGCGAGCGAGGAGAGCCUGCACGCGCUGUCGUGGGCGCUCGACAACGUCGUCCGGCCCCACCCCGGCGCGUCCCUCGUCGUCGUCCACGUCCAGCCGCGCGCCGACCACUUGGCCUACCCUGUCGCCGGGCACGGCCUACAGUACGUCCCGCCCACGGCGGUGGACUCCGUGAGGAAGACGCACGAGGAGAACUCCCGGCGAGUCGUGUCCGUCGCGCUCGACGUGUGCAGGCAGAAGCAGGUGAGCGCCACGGCGGCGGUGGUGGAGGGCGACGCCAAGGAGGCCAUCUGCCGCGCCGUGGAGGACAUGCACGCCGACCUCCUCGUCCUCGGCAGCCGCGGCCUGGGCAUGAUCAAGAGGGCGUUGCUGGGCAGCGUGAGCGACUACCUCGCCCAUCACGCCUCCUGCCCCGUUCUCAUCGUGAAGCCGCCCAACAAGGCGCACCACAAGUGA